This 328-nucleotide long non-coding RNA is filed under the name Gossypium barbadense (sea-island cotton). RNAcentral describes it as "long non-coding RNA (GBAR_LNC021950)". Lineage: Eukaryota; Viridiplantae; Streptophyta; Magnoliopsida; Malvales; Malvaceae. The record is from RNAcentral.
GGUGUACGCUUAGAGGGAGAUGUCGGGGCAGGAGAUAUUGAAGAUGGCGGAGGAGGGGAAUUUGGUGGUUCUGUUGGCGGAGUUUGUGAUGGUGGCGGCGGUGGAUUUGGUGGUGGAGAUCGUGAUGGUGGUGGCGUUGAAAGGGGAGGUUGUGAUGGUGGUGGCGUUGAAAGGGGAGGUUGUGAUGAUGGUGGCGGUGAACUAACAGGUGGUGGCAAUCGCGGCGGCGGUGCUGGCGGUGGUGGUGAAGGAACAGGCGGUUGAGUAGAUGGUGUUGGUGGAGGUGGUGAUGGAGUUUGUGGAGGUGGAGGUGAUGGCCUGGGUGCAG